RNAcentral lists this ribosomal RNA (1021 nucleotides) under uncultured organism. Its description in RNAcentral is "bacterial SSU rRNA". It matches the Rfam family "Bacterial small subunit ribosomal RNA", at positions 186 to 1224 of the family's 1533-position model. The record is from RNAcentral.
CGGAUAAGCCUUUGGGUAAAGAUUUAUUGCCCAAGAGGAGCUCGCGUCUGAUUAGCUAGUUGGUGAGGUAAGAGCUCACCAAUGCAGCGAUCAGUAGCUGGUCUGAGAGGACGAUCAGGCACACUGUGACUGAUACAUGGCCCAGACUCCUACGGGAGGCAGCAGUGGGGAAUUUUCCGAAAUGGGCGAAAGCCUGACGGAGCAAGACCGUGUGAGGGAGGAAGGCUCUUGGGUUGUAAAGCUCUUUUCUCAGGGAAGAAGCUCUGACGGUACCUGAGGAAUCAGCCUCGGCUAACUCCGUGCCAUCAGCCGCGGUAAUACGGAGCGAGGCAAGCGUUAUCCGGAAUUAUUGGGCUUUCAGCGUCCGCAGGUGGCGAUUCAAGUCUGCUGUCUAAGCACGGGGCUUAACUCCGUUAAGGCAGUGGAAACUGAAUAGCUAGAGUGCCGUAGGGGUAGAGGGAAUUCCCGGUGUAGCGGUGAAAUGCGUAGAGAUCGGGAAGAACAUCGGUGGUGAAAGCGCUCUACUGGACGGCAACUGACACUCAGGGACGAAAGCUAGGGGACCGAAUGGGAUUAGAUACCCCAGUAGUCCUAGCUGUAAACGAUGGAUACUAGGUGUAGCUUGUAUCGACCCGAGCUGUGCCGAAGCUAACGCGUUAAGUAUCCCGCCUGGGGAGUACGCACGCAAGUGUGAUACUCAAAGGAAUUGACGGGGGCCCGCACAAGCGGUGGAGUAUGUGGUUUAAGUCGAUGCAACGCGAAGAACCUUACCAGGGCUUGACACUGUCCGGAAUCCCGGUGAAAGCUGGGAGUGCCUUCGGGAGCCGGAACACAGGUGGUGCAUGGCAGUCGUCAGCUCGUGUCGUGAGAUGCUGGGUUAAGUCCCGCAACGAGCGCAACCCUCGUCUCUAGUUGCCAGCAUUAAGUUGGGCACUCUAGAGAGACUGCCGGUGACAAAACCGGAGGAAGGUGGGGACGACGUCAAGUCAGCAUGCCCCUUACGCUCUGGGCGACACACGUA